This 35-nucleotide transfer RNA is filed under the name Panphalea heterophylla. Its description in RNAcentral is "Pamphalea heterophylla partial tRNA-Phe". The record is from RNAcentral. RNAcentral also lists the same sequence under 4 other names. Lineage: Eukaryota; Viridiplantae; Streptophyta; Magnoliopsida; Asterales; Asteraceae.
GUUGGGAUAGCUCAGUUGGUAGAGCAGAGGACUGA